This 329-nucleotide ribosomal RNA is filed under the name uncultured eukaryote. Its description in RNAcentral is "partial 18S ribosomal RNA". It matches the Rfam family "Eukaryotic small subunit ribosomal RNA", at positions 1470 to 1796 of the family's 1831-position model. The record is from RNAcentral.
CCCUUAGAUGUUCUGGGCCGCACGCGCGCUACACUGAUGCAUUCAACGAGUCUAAAACCUGCUCUGAUAGGGGUGGGUAAUCUUUUGAAUGUGCAUCGUGAUUGGGAUAGAUGAUUGCAAUUUUUCAUCUUCAACGAGGAAUGCCUAGUAAACGCAAGUCAUCAGCUUGCAUUGAUUACGUCCCUGCCCUUUGUACACACCGCCCGUCGCUCCUACCGAUUGAAUGAUCCGAUGAAUAUCAUGGAUUGAGGAUGCAAGCAGGUUCGCCUGUCUUCAUCUUCGAGAAGUGAAGUAAGUCUUAUCAUUUAGAGGAAGGAGAAGUCGUAACA